CGGGAUGUAGUUCAACUUGGUAGAGCACUUGCUUUGGGUGCAAGAUGUUGCAGGUUCAAAUCCUGUCAUCCCGAC
RNAcentral lists this transfer RNA (75 nucleotides) under Gordonia phage GMA2. RNAcentral describes it as "tRNA-Pro". It matches the Rfam family "tRNA". From Rfam's summary of the family: Transfer RNA (tRNA) molecules are approximately 80 nucleotides in length. Their secondary structure includes four short double-helical elements and three loops (D, anti-codon, and T loops). Lineage: Duplodnaviria; Heunggongvirae; Uroviricota; Caudoviricetes. The record is from RNAcentral.